This 439-nucleotide ribosomal RNA is filed under the name uncultured bacterium. Its description in RNAcentral is "bacterial SSU rRNA". It matches the Rfam family "Bacterial small subunit ribosomal RNA", at positions 338 to 795 of the family's 1533-position model. The record is from RNAcentral.
CCUACGGGUGGCAGCAGUGGGGAAUCUUGCGCAAUGGGCGAAAGCCUGACGCAGCGACGCCGCGUGGGUGACGACGUUCUUCGGAAUGUAAAACCCUGUCAGGAGGGACAAUUAUGAUGGUACCUCCAAAGGAAGCCCCGGCUAACUACGUGCCAGCAGCCGCGGUAAUACGUAGGGGGCGAGCGUUAUCCGGAUUUACUGGGCAUAAAGCGCGUGUAGGCGGUAAUUUAAGUCAGAUGUUAAAUCCCUCGGCUCAACCGAGGUCCGCAUUUGAUACUGGAUUGCUAGAGGUCAGGAGAGGAAAGCGGAACUCACGGUGUAGCGGUGAAAUGCGUAGAUAUCGUGAGGAACAUCAGUUGCGAAGGCGGCUUUCUGGACUGAUUCUGACGCUGAGACGCGAAAGCGUGGGGAGCAAACGGGAUUAGAUACCCUUGUAGUC